Molecule: long non-coding RNA, 2737 nt
Organism: Girardinichthys multiradiatus
Lineage: Eukaryota; Metazoa; Chordata; Actinopteri; Cyprinodontiformes; Goodeidae
Exons: 2
Source: RefSeq, a predicted model, not a curated record
GACCACACUGGGUGCCACUCCUGUUAGAACAGGAAACUGAGGCUACAAUUCGCACAGGCUCACUAAAAUUGGACAAUAGAAGAUUGGAAAAACGUUGCCUGAUCUGAUGAGUCUCAAUUUCUACUGCGACAUUCGGAUAGUAAGGUCAGAAUUAGGCGUCAACAACGUGAAAGCAUGGAUCCAUCCUGCCUUGUAUCAAUUGUUCAGGCUGGUGGUGGUGGUGUAAUGGUGUGGGGGAUAUUUUCUUGGCACCCUUUGGGCCCCUUAGUACCAAUUGAGCAUCGUGUCAACGCCACAGCCUACUUGAGUAUUGUUGUUGACCAUGUCAUCCCUUUAUGACCACAGUGUACCCAUCUUCUGAUGGUUACUUCCAGCAGGAUAAUGCGCCAUGUCAUAAAGCACAAAUCAUCUCAGACUGGUUUCCUGAACAUGACAAUUAGUUCAAUGUACUCAAAUGGCCUCCACAGUUACCAGAUCUCAAUCCAAUAGAGCACCUUUGGGAUGUGGUGGAGCAGGAGAUGUGCAGCCGACAAAUCUGCAGCAUCUGUGUGAUGCAAUCAUGUCAAUAUGGACCAAACUCUCUGAGGAAUGUUUCCAGUACCUUGUCAAAUCUAUGCCACGAAGGACGAAGGCAGUUCUGCAGUUCUGAGGGCAAAAGGGGGUCCAACAAGGUACUAGUAAAGUGUACCUAAUAAAGUGACUGGUGAGUGUAGUUCUCAACACGGUUAUCCUGGGUUCAUUUCCUGGUCUCAGGCUCUUUGCUGCAUGCCUUUCCCUUCUCUCUGCGCCCUGCUUUCUGUCAAUCUACAGUUCAAUAAAGACAACUAGUGCCAAGAAAAUCUUCAAAACGUUUGAGUCACUUAUAUAUGUUUUAUCGUUAAGGUGGUGUAGUUCAGGGUGAUAUUCAGGCAGUGUUAUUUUUUCAUGACAUUUAGUGUUUUGGAUGUAGGCUAAUAACUUCAGUUUUGGUGCCAUCUGUCCCAAGUACACUGUUCUGUGUGCUUGCUGUGCCCCCUAUGUCUUGUGGUAAACCUAGAAACAGAAAUGUAUACCUUUAAAUCUGCUUUAAAAUUCUCCACAGCUUUCUCCCUGACCAAUGUGUUCCCUGGUCUUCAUGAUACUGAUUGUUAACCAAUGUUCUUCAACAAACAUCUAAGGCCUUUACAGGACAGGUGGAUUUAGGCUGAUAUUUAAGUCACAUAUUUGGACUCUAGAUUAUAUCUCUCCUGAAGGCAGUUGGUUGCACAGGACUUGAUUAAGGGGACUUAUUGCCACAUUUUUCAAAUUUUCCUUUGGAAAGACAAUGUAAAAAUCAUGUAUUCUUUUUCUUCCCUUUACAAUUAUGCACUACUUUAUGUCCGUCCAUUACAUUAAAAUGCAAUAAAAUACACUAAAAUUUUGAGUUUCAAUCUGGCAAAAUGUAAAGACGUACAAGGGGUAUGAAUAAUUCUGCAAGACACUGUAUAUUUAUUAUAUUUUUACACCUAUGUUUUCUUGCUACAUUUUGUUUUUAGAAUAUGUACAUCUGUAUACAUAAAAAAUAAUAAAUAUUAAAUAUUACAUAUUUAUUAGUACAGAAUAAACACAGGUAAAAAUGUUGUUUAAAGCUAUAUAAACUAAAUGAGUGAGGGUGCCACUAAGAGAAGCCCUCUGUUUAAACAGGCUUAAACCCAGCAAAGAUUAUUUUCAUUAAAUAAUAAGUUACUGUAAAAUUCUGAAAAAAGUGUUAUGUAUCAGUACGAGUCAAUUGAGCUGUGUACAUGAUUUCAACGUUUAUAAAACACAAAACUUAACUUGAACAACAUAAGUAGAGUUAAUAGAUUACUUUCUAAAUGUGAAUUCAACCAGUGUUUGCAGCGGAAUCAGGAAGGAGGUGAGGCUGUCAAGAUGAAGAUCACCAAAACUUAGGGCUGAAGAAGGAUGAGGAGCACUGAACCUUGGGUGCUGGGAGAACAAGAAUCAAGAUGUCUAUCUGUGAUUGUAUCAGUGCAGAACUCUACAGUGACAGCAAAGUAAUUUUCCCUCUUCCACCAGGACACGUUAAACAGAAUUACACCCACGAUUCACAUAGUUCCUGUGAUGGAUGGGCUUCGAUUGAAUCAUUAAAUCAUGUUAAGCAAUACGUCAAGCCAGUUUUUUCCAAAAUAAUAGAGGAAAUAAUAAAACUUGAAAAAUAAAUCUGAACAAAUUCCCAUGGAACCUUGGGAGAAACUUGUUAAAGAUAUGAGUAAUAAAACACCAGCCAAGCAGCUGUAGCUCACAGUAAAAAAAACAGAUCUGGCUGGUUUUCAUUUAUGGGCAUAAAAAAUGAAAUUAACUUCCCCCUAAUAUCCCCAGAGCCAUGAUCUUCCUGCUUCUCAAUAAUUCAUAUAGUAAUCUGCAAGAAGGUAUUAGUGCAGCACGAGCAACACAUGAGGGCUUCUUUGCAGUGCAGCUUGGUGGUGUGAUGGACACACUUUUUCAUUUGUGUGACACAGACGGACUGCCAAAGAUGAUCAAAGGAAAAAAUAACAGUCUGCACCCCUUCCUCUUCAUUUAGGACUUGAAAAUCCCUGUUCAUCAAUGAACAGUUCUCAUUUAUUAGUUUUUACUUACCUAUUUUUUGGUGUUUUAACUGUUCUUAUUCUGUUAGUUUUGUAGUGGAUGCUGGACUUUUACUGCUUAUUUCGUAUUUUGUGUAGCACUUUGGUCAGUUUAGGUGUGUAAAGUGCUUUAUAAAUAAAGCUUGAUUGAUUGA